ACACAUGCAAGUCGAGCGCAGCCUUCGGGGUGAGCGGCGGACGGGUGAGUAACGCGUGGGAAUAUGCCCUUUGGUACGGAAUAGUCCUGGGAAACUGGGGGUAAUACCGUAUGCGCCCUUCGGGGGAAAGAUUUAUCGCCAAAGGAUUAGCCCGCGUUGGAUUAGGUAGUUGGUGGGGUAAUGGCCUACCAAGCCGACGAUCCAUAGCUGGUUUGAGAGGAUGAUCAGCCACACUGGGACUGAGACACGGCCCAGACUCCUACGGGAGGCAGCAGUGGGGAAUCUUAGACAAUGGGGGCAACCCUGAUCUAGCCAUGCCGCGUGAGUGAUGAAGGCCCUAGGGUUGUAAAGCUCUUUCAGCUGGGAAGAUAAUGACGGUACCAGCAGAAGAAGCCCCGGCUAACUCCGUGCCAGCAGCCGCGGUAAUACGGAGGGGGCUAGCGUUGUUCGGAAUUACUGGGCGUAAAGCGCACGUAGGCGGACCGGAAAGUUGGGGGUGAAAUCCCGGGGCUCAACCCCGGAACUGCCUUCAAAACUAUCGGUCUGGAGUUCGAGAGAGGUGAGUGGAAUUCCGAGUGUAGAGGUGAAAUUCGUAGAUAUUCGGAGGAACACCAGUGGCGAAGGCGGCUCACUGGCUCGAUACUGACGCUGAG
Molecule: ribosomal RNA, 653 nt
Filed under: Paracoccus pantotrophus
Lineage: Bacteria; Pseudomonadati; Pseudomonadota; Alphaproteobacteria; Rhodobacterales; Paracoccaceae
Description: bacterial SSU rRNA
Rfam family: Bacterial small subunit ribosomal RNA
Source: RNAcentral